This 69-nucleotide transfer RNA is filed under the name Bos taurus (domestic cattle). It matches the Rfam family "tRNA". From Rfam's summary of the family: Transfer RNA (tRNA) molecules are approximately 80 nucleotides in length. Their secondary structure includes four short double-helical elements and three loops (D, anti-codon, and T loops). Further hydrogen bonds mediate the characteristic L-shaped molecular structure. tRNAs have two regions of fundamental functional importance: the anti-codon, which is responsible for specific mRNA codon recognition, and the 3' end, to which the tRNAs corresponding amino acid is attached (by aminoacyl-tRNA synthetases). tRNAs cope with the degeneracy of the genetic code in two manners: having more than one tRNA (with a specific anti-codon) for a particular amino acid; and 'wobble' base-pairing, i.e. permitting non-standard base-pairing at the 3rd anti-codon position. The record is from Rfam by way of RNAcentral. Lineage: Eukaryota; Metazoa; Chordata; Mammalia; Artiodactyla; Bovidae. RNAcentral also lists the same sequence under 4 other names.
CCUGGUGGCUCAGUCUGUAAAGCGUCUGCCUGCAAUGCAGGUGACCCAGGUUCAAUCCCUGGGUCAGGA